This 390-nucleotide ribosomal RNA is filed under the name uncultured bacterium. RNAcentral's name for it is "bacterial SSU rRNA". It matches the Rfam family "Bacterial small subunit ribosomal RNA", at positions 143 to 518 of the family's 1533-position model. The record is from RNAcentral.
AUAACAUCCGGAAACGGGUGCUAAUACCGCAUAGUUUCUUGAUCGCAUGAUCGGGAAGGAAAGACGGCCUUUGUGCUGUCGCUUAUGGAUGGACCCGCGGCGUAUUAGUUAGUUGGUGAGGUAACGGCUCACCAAGACGAUGAUACGUAGCCGACCUGAGAGGGUGAUCGGCCACAUUGGGACUGAGACACGGCCCAAACUCCUACGGGAGGCAGCAGUAGGGAAUCUUCCGCAAUGGACGAAAGUCUGACGGAGCAACGCCGCGUGAGUGAAGAAAGGUUUUCGGAUCGUAAAACUCUGUUGUCAGAGAAGAACAAGUUGGAGAGUAACUGCUCCAGCCUUGACGGUAUCUGACCAGAAAGCCACGGCUAACUACGUGCCAGCCGCAGC